GAAUUCGCCCUUAGAGUUUGAUCCUGGCUCAGGAUGAACGCUAGCGGCAGGCCUAAUACAUGCAAGUCGAACGAUAUUUUCCAGCUUGCUGGAAGAGAAAGUGGCGCACGGGUGCGUAACGCGUAUGCAACCUACCUUCAUCAGGGGGAUAGCCCGGAGAAAUCCGGAUUAAUACCGCAUAAAAUCACAGGAUGGCAUUAUCCAAUGAUCAAACAUUUAUGGGAUGGAGAUGGGCAUGCGUGUCAUUAGCUAGUUGGCGGGGUAACGGCCCACCAAGGCGACGAUGACUAGGGGAUCUGAGAGGAUGGCCCCCCACACUGGUACUGAGACACGGACCAGACUCCUACGGGAGGCAGCAGUAAGGAAUAUUGGUCAAUGGAGGCAACUCUGAACCAGCCAUGCCGCGUGCAGGAAGACUGCCCUAUGGGUUGUAAACUGCUUUUAUCCGGGAAUAAACCUCAUUACGUGUAAUGAGCUGAAUGUACCGGAAGAAUAAGGAUCGGCUAACUCCGUGCCAGCAGCCGCGGUAAUACGGAGGAUCCAAGCGUUAUCCGGAUUUAUUGGGUUUAAAGGGUGCGUAGGCGGCCUGUUAAGUCAGGGGUGAAAGACGGUAGCUCAACUAUCGCAGUGCCCUUGAUACUGAUGGGCUUGAAUGGACUAGAGGUAGGCGGAAUGAGACAAGUAGCGGUGAAAUGCAUAGAUAUGUCUCAGAACACCGAUUGCGAAGGCAGCUUACUAUGGUCUUAUUGACGCUGAGGCACGAAAGCGUGGGGAUCAAACAGGAUUAGAUACCCUGGUAGUCCACGCCCUAAACGAUGAACACUCGCUGUUGGCGAUACACAGUCAGCGGCUAAGCGAAAGCGUUAAGUGUUCCACCUGGGGAGUACGCCCGCAAGGGUGAAACUCAAAGGAAUUGACGGGGGCAAGGGCGAAUUC
RNAcentral lists this ribosomal RNA (936 nucleotides) under uncultured bacterium. Its description in RNAcentral is "bacterial SSU rRNA". It matches the Rfam family "Bacterial small subunit ribosomal RNA", at positions 1 to 932 of the family's 1533-position model. The record is from RNAcentral.